RNAcentral lists this transfer RNA (73 nucleotides) under Spirochaetaceae bacterium. RNAcentral's name for it is "tRNA-Thr". It matches the Rfam family "tRNA". From Rfam's summary of the family: Transfer RNA (tRNA) molecules are approximately 80 nucleotides in length. Their secondary structure includes four short double-helical elements and three loops (D, anti-codon, and T loops). Further hydrogen bonds mediate the characteristic L-shaped molecular structure. tRNAs have two regions of fundamental functional importance: the anti-codon, which is responsible for specific mRNA codon recognition, and the 3' end, to which the tRNAs corresponding amino acid is attached (by aminoacyl-tRNA synthetases). tRNAs cope with the degeneracy of the genetic code in two manners: having more than one tRNA (with a specific anti-codon) for a particular amino acid; and 'wobble' base-pairing, i.e. permitting non-standard base-pairing at the 3rd anti-codon position. RNAcentral also lists the same sequence under 1 other name. Lineage: Bacteria; Pseudomonadati; Spirochaetota; Spirochaetia; Spirochaetales; Spirochaetaceae. The record is from RNAcentral.
GCCAUCUUAGCUCAGUCGGUAGAGCACUUGACUUGUAAUCAUGAGGUCCCCGGUUCGACUCCGAGAGAUGGCU